Molecule: long non-coding RNA, 851 nt
Filed under: Prunus dulcis (almond)
Lineage: Eukaryota; Viridiplantae; Streptophyta; Magnoliopsida; Rosales; Rosaceae
Description: sRNA ncRNA
Source: RNAcentral
UCAGACUUUUGUAAAGUCAAUCCGGAAACAUCAUAUCCUUUUGUUUUUGUUUUGUCUUUGAUUCAAAUAUUUUUUCUUUCAAAAUACCACAACAAGAACAAACAAACGCCCUGAGGAAAACGAUAAUCAAAGGCCAAAAAAAAAAAAAAAAGGCCUUGUAUUAAACUCCAAAAAACAAAAAUCAAACAGUACGAAAAAUUAAAGAUCUUUUCGUUUUCUUUUUUCUUCGAUUAUUCUAUUGAGAUCGAACAAUCAAACCACCGCAGAAGAACAGGGGGAGAGAGAGCUCUUCAGAAGCUUCUUCGCCGACGAUACACCAAUCCUCCUCCCUUUGGUUCCAUUCAAUUCCUUUACAAACCGAUCAUUGAACAGAUGCUUCGAAUCAAAUUAGGUUGCGAGAUUCAAUCCUCCGCCGAUCGUCGCAAUUCGAAUAAAAUUUCACAGAUCUCAGUGAAAUUAGAAAAUGCACUCUGCUUUUGUCUUCGCACCGAUCCUUACAAAUAGACUGAGAGAAUCAGAAAACCCUAGGCUGAGGAACCGAUUCUGAUGAGCGAAUGGAUGGUACAAUUGCUCCAAAAUUUCCGAUUGGUUUGCCGUACGUAUAUAGCACCGAGGAAAAUUCACGAAUUCCGAGAGCUUCUGACACGCCAAAACGGAGAAAACCCAAAUCUAUCAGAGAAACCGCUUGAAAUUUGUGAAACUGGUGAUGGUUUUCAAGCACUAGGACGUCUGUGUAGGCUGAUAAUCAUUACAAACAGCCAGGCUGCUAGGGUUUGGCUCAGAGAAAUUUGAGAGAGAGAGAGAGAGAGAGCUCUGAGCGUUGGGUUUUGUUUUGCUUUUUUCCAAUUUCC